This 362-nucleotide ribosomal RNA is filed under the name uncultured Sedimentibacter sp. RNAcentral describes it as "bacterial SSU rRNA". It matches the Rfam family "Bacterial small subunit ribosomal RNA", at positions 1016 to 1382 of the family's 1533-position model. The record is from RNAcentral. Lineage: Bacteria; Bacillati; Bacillota; Tissierellia.
UCGGGGACGAGGGUGACGAGGUGGUGCAGUGUUGUCGUCAGCUCGUGUCGUGAGAUGUUGGGUUAAGUCCCGCAACGAGCGCAACCCUCGACCUUAGUUGCCAGCAUUCAGUUGGGCACUCUAAGGUGACUGCCGGCUAAAAGUCGGAGGAAGGUGGGAUGAUGUCAAGUCAGCAUGGCCUUUAUAUCCUGGGCUACACACACGCUACAAUGGCCAACACAAUAGGUUGCUAAGCCGCGAGGUGGCGCCAAUCCAUAAAGUUGGUCUCAGUUCAGAUUGUAGGCUGCAACCCGCCUGCAUGAAGAUGGAGUUGCUAGUAACCGCAGGUCAGCUAUACUGCGGUGAAUACGUUCCCGGGACUU